Molecule: ribosomal RNA, 265 nt
Filed under: uncultured prokaryote
Description: partial 16S ribosomal RNA
Rfam family: Bacterial small subunit ribosomal RNA
Source: RNAcentral
UACGUAGGUGGCGAGCGUUGUCCGGAUUUACUGGGCGUAAAGGGAGCGUAGGCGGACUUUUAAGUGAGAUGUGAAAUACCCGGGCUCAACUUGGGUGCUGCAUUUCAAACUGGAAGUCUAGAGUGCAGGAGAGGAGAAUGGAAUUCCUAGUGUAGCGGUGAAAUGCGUAGAGAUUAGGAAGAACACCAGUGGCGAAGGCGGCUCUCUGGACUGUAACUGACGCUGAGGCACGAAAGCGUGGGGAGCAAACAGGAUUAGAUACCCU